Molecule: long non-coding RNA, 128 nt
Organism: Oryctolagus cuniculus (rabbit)
Lineage: Eukaryota; Metazoa; Chordata; Mammalia; Lagomorpha; Leporidae
Rfam family: Rhabdomyosarcoma 2 associated transcript conserved region 5
Source: Rfam
UGGCAGUUAAAGAACAGAAACAGAGCAAUGAGACUGCCUGGCUACAUUUUCCCAGUGCCACCAACUGGGAGUUAAGCAGACAAACAUUUUGAAAGCCCAGCCCAUUUUGUUCCCAGUAGGAUGGCAGG